RNAcentral lists this long non-coding RNA (866 nucleotides) under Homo sapiens (human). Its description in RNAcentral is "HSALNT0401708". Lineage: Eukaryota; Metazoa; Chordata; Mammalia; Primates; Hominidae. The record is from RNAcentral.
CUGACCUCGUGAUCCGCCUGCCUCGGCCUCCCAAAGUGCUGGGAUUACAGGCGUGAGCCACCGCGCCCGGCCGCUGCUUUAAGUUCUUAACACGUCCUCACCGCGGCUCAGCUCACUGUACGGCCCCUGCAUAGAGAGGGGAGGGCAGGGGCCAUGAUACUGAACUCACAGCUCUGGGCAUUUCUGAAGUCUGGCCCUUGAAGCUUUUCCUAGAGCAAAUUGUUUUCUUCUCCCCUUCAGGAAACUGAAAAUUCACACAGCAGCCGUGGGAGUCAGAGUAGCAAAGGCUUUGAGAUCACAUAGACCUGGGACACGUGCUUGCUUUGUGAUUACGGGUGCGGGGACUGCUUGCCAACCCAUGGCAACUCACCUGUAGCGCAUGGAGAUUUGGGGGUAAACCCAGUGAUGCUGAGUAUGUGGGCUGCCCAAGCUGGGUGGCAACCAACCCCAGCAUUGAAUGUGCUGAGAGCUGGACCGGUGGAUGUCCCCACUGCCCUGAGGCAGGUCCAGGAGAAGGCUCCUACCUGCUGUGCAGAGGGCAAGCUCAUGGCUGUCAGAGGCUCCUAACUGCACCCACCCCCGAUCAGCCAAAGCCAAUUACUCCACGUCCAAGACACAGGCGUGUUAAAAUGUAAACGGCCAUUCAUCAUCUGGCAGCGUGACCGUUUGCCCCUAUCAGGCCCCAGUCCGGCCUCACCACGCCUCCAUGCUCUCCUCAGCGUCAAAGAAACAGCCUUGUCCUGCCAGGGCCUUCGCCAGGCCCGGCCUGGGAAGUCAGGGCUCUCUGACCCAAUGGAGCGAAUCGUUGCGAGCAUUUAUUUAAUAGCAUUAUCUUGAUGAUGAAUAAAUCACACCUUCAUGAACCA